Molecule: ribosomal RNA, 244 nt
Filed under: uncultured bacterium
Lineage: Bacteria
Description: partial 16S ribosomal RNA
Rfam family: Bacterial small subunit ribosomal RNA
Source: RNAcentral
UACGUAGGGUGCAAGCGUUAAUCGGAAUUACUGGGCGUAAAGCGUGCGCAGGCGGUUUUGUAAGUCUGUCGUGAAAUCCCCGGGCUCAACCUGGGAAUUGCGAUGGAGACUGCAAGGCUAGAAUCUGGCAGAGGGGGGUAGAAUUCCACGUGUAGCAGUGAAAUGCGUAGAGAUGUGGAGGAACACCGAUGGCGAAGGCAGCCCCUGGGUCAAGAUUGACGCUCAUGCACGAAGCGUGGGAGCA